AUUGAACGCUGGCGGCAGGCCUAACACAUGCAAGUCGAACGGUAACAGGAAACAGCUUGCUGUCUCGCUGACGAGUGGCGGACGGGUGAGUAAUGUCUGGGAAACUGCCUGAUGGAGGGGGAUAACUACUGGAAACGGUAGCUAAUACCGCAUAACGUCGCAAGACCAAAGAGGGGGACCUUCGGGCCUCUUGCCAUCGGAUGUGCCCAGAUGGGAUUAGCUAGUAGGUGGGGUAACGGCUCACCUAGGCGACGAUCCCUAGCUGGUCUGAGAGGAUGACCAGCCACACUGGAACUGAGACACGGUCCAGACUCCUACGGGAGGCAGCAGUGGGGAAUAUUGCACAAUGGGCGCAAGCCUGAUGCAGCCAUGCCGCGUGUAUGAAGAAGGCCUUCGGGUUGUAAAGUACUUUCAGCGGGGAGGAAGGGAGUAAAGUUAAUACCUUUACUCAUUGACGUUACCCGCAGAAGAAGCACCGGCUAACUCCGUG
RNAcentral lists this ribosomal RNA (490 nucleotides) under uncultured bacterium. Its description in RNAcentral is "partial 16S ribosomal RNA". It matches the Rfam family "Bacterial small subunit ribosomal RNA", at positions 30 to 507 of the family's 1533-position model. The record is from RNAcentral.